RNAcentral lists this ribosomal RNA (703 nucleotides) under Caenorhabditis elegans. Its description in RNAcentral is "partial 16S ribosomal RNA". Lineage: Eukaryota; Metazoa; Nematoda; Chromadorea; Rhabditida; Rhabditidae. The record is from RNAcentral.
UAAAUUUUACUUGUUUAAAUAUUGGUAUUGCAUACUAUUACAAUAAAAUUUCAUGUGAAUGAAAAAUAGAAACAAAGGGUAGAGUAAAUAUUAGUUUUAUUGUUUCAUACUAAAAAUUAUAUUUAUUAGAGUUGAUAUGUCGACCUUUGUGAUAACUGUUUUUAUUCUUAUAUUAGAAAAUUAUAUAUUAUAUAAUUAUUUUAGGAAAUUUAAAAUUUGAAGUGUUUUAAAUUUAUGUUUUACAACAUUUUCCUAAUUUUAUUUAAGUUUAAUUUUUAAUUUAAUAAAGUUUUAUUAAAUAAAUAAUUUGUAAAUUAGUAAAUUUUAUAAAUUUAANUUAUUAUUAAAAUAUAAUUGAAGAACUUGAAGUCUUGAUCAAAUGUUUUUUAAAGACUUAGGCUUUACAUUAAAGCUGGCUUCUGCCCUAUGAUAUUUAAAUGGCAGUCUUAGCGUGAGGACAUUAAGGUAGCAAAAUAAUUUGUGCUUUUAUUGAGUUCCAGUAUGAAUGAAGUUAUUGGUUAGUUCUAUUUAUGUUUUAUGUUUGAAUUUAAUUUUUAUUUAAGAAAAAAUAAAUAUAUUUAUACAAAGAUAAGUCUUCGGAAAUUCUGUUAUUACACAAUUAAAUAAUUGUGUAAUAAAUUUUCUAGGGCAGAAUAUUAUAUAAUAGUANUUCACUAUAUUUAAUUUAAAGAAUUACUCCGGA